This 536-nucleotide ribosomal RNA is filed under the name uncultured bacterium. Its description in RNAcentral is "bacterial SSU rRNA". It matches the Rfam family "Bacterial small subunit ribosomal RNA", at positions 777 to 1319 of the family's 1533-position model. The record is from RNAcentral.
AAUAGAUACCCGGGUAGUCCACGCCGUAAACGAUGCUAACUCGUUUUUGGGCCUUUGGGUUCAGAGACUAAGCGAAAGUGAUAAGUUAGCCACCUGGGGAGUACGUUCGCAAGAAUGAAACUCAAAGGAAUUGACGGGGGCCCGCACAAGCGGUGGAUUAUGUGGUUUAAUUCGAUGAUACGCGAGGAACCUUACCAAGGCUUAAAUGGGAAAUGACAGGCUUAGAAAUAGGCUUUUUCUUCGGACAUUUUUCAAGGUGCUGCAUGGUUGUCGUCAGCUCGUGCCGUGAGGUGUUAGGUUAAGUCCUGCAACGAGCGCAACCCCUGUCACUAGUUGCCAUCAUUAAGUUGGGGACUCUAGUGAGACUGCCUACGCAAGUAGAGAGGAAGGUGGGGAUGACGUCAAAUCAUCACGGCCCUUACGCCUUGGGGCCACACACGUAAUACAAUGGCCAGUACAGAGGGCAGCUACACAGCGAUGUGAUGCAAAUCUCGAAAGCUGGUCUCAGUUCGGAUUGGAGUCUGCAACUCGACUCU